This 1341-nucleotide ribosomal RNA is filed under the name Eurhynchus laevior. RNAcentral describes it as "eukaryotic LSU rRNA". It matches the Rfam family "Eukaryotic large subunit ribosomal RNA", at positions 70 to 1139 of the family's 3401-position model. The record is from RNAcentral. Lineage: Eukaryota; Metazoa; Arthropoda; Insecta; Coleoptera; Brentidae.
UAGGAUUCCCUUAGUAGCUGCGAGCGAACAGGGAAAAGCCCAGCACCGAAUCCCGCGGCCGAUAACGGACGCCGGGAAAUGUGGUGUUCGGGAGGAUCCAGUUAUCCCGAAGUCACGCGGCGCGUCCAAGUCCUUCUUGAACGGGGCCACAGCCCAUAGAGGGUGCCAGGCCCGUAGUGACCGCCGCUGAUUGCGGGAGGAUCUCUCCUCAGAGUCGGGUUGCUUGAGAGUGCAGCCCUAAGUGGGUGGUAAACUCCAUCUAAGGCUAAAUACGACCGCGAGACCGAUAGCGAACAAGUACCGUGAGGGAAAGUUGAAAAGCACUUUGAAGAGAGAGUUCAAGAGUACGUGAAACCGUUUAGGGGUAAACCUGAGAAACCCGAAAGGUCGAAGGGAGAAAUUCAUUCGCGUUUCGACGUAGGCGUAAGACGGUCGAGUGACGGGAAACGUUCGCGCGUUUUCCGCGCCUUCCGUUUUUCGAUCCGACAUCGAACGCGUGCACUUUUCUUCCGGUAGGACGUCGCGAUCCGUUGGGCGUCGGUCUACGGCCCGCGAUGGAGCCCGUACGGACGGUUCGCGCCGUACCGUUCGGACCCGCGGUGUCCCGGCCGACUCGCUCGACGGUAUACGAAUGGCCCAGGGCCGCUUUCUAUUAAGCGUUCGACUCGCGGCAAGCGCGCCCGACGCGUCGACUAUCGGACCUAGUGCCGGUACCGACCUCUGGCGACUGUUGGCCGCGAAGUUCUCGAACCGACCCUCUGUGGCCGAUCUGCGACGCUAUAGCUUUGGGUACUUUCAGGACCCGUCUUGAAACACGGACCAAGGAGUCUAGCAUGUGCGCGAGUCAUUGGGAAUCGCUAAACCUAAAGGCGCAAUGAAAGUAAAGAUCCGCCUCGCGCGGAUCGAGGGAGGAUGGGCGGUUCGAACUUAAAAGCGGCCGCCUCGCACUCCCGGGGCGUCUCGUUCUCAUCGCGAGAAGAGGCGCACCAAGAGCGUACACGCUGGGACCCGAAAGAUGGUGAACUAUGCCUGGUCAGGACGAAGUCAGGGGAAACCCUGAUGGAGGUCCGUAGCGAUUCUGACGUGCAAAUCGAUCGUCGGAACUGGGUAUAGGGGCGAAAGACUAAUCGAACCAUCUAGUAGCUGGUUCCCUCCGAAGUUUCCCUCAGGAUAGCUGGCGCUCGUCGCGCACGAGUUUCAUCCGGUAAAGCGAAUGAUUAGAGGCAUUGGGGUCGAAACGACCUCAACCUAUUCUCAAACUUUAAAUGGGUGAGAUCUCCGGCUUGCUCGAACUCAUGAAGCCGCGAGACACGAAUCAGAGUGCCAAGUGGGCCAUUUUUG